This is a long non-coding RNA of Chionomys nivalis (European snow vole), 530 nucleotides long. RefSeq lists it as uncharacterized. The record is from RefSeq and is a predicted model, not a curated record. NCBI's taxonomy places the organism in Eukaryota, Metazoa, Chordata, Mammalia, Rodentia, Cricetidae. The transcript has 3 exons.
GUACUUUAUUCUAAGAAAAUGACCGUGCACUGAGGUACUUACCGUUCUGCUGUGAACUAGCCCCAGCUCUGCACUUGACAAAUCUCGGUUCAAUUGUGACGGCUGGAAACGUGGACUACUCCCUUUCGGAGAGAGAAUGCGUGGCUAGCCCUGACGUUUGACCGCUCGUGAAGCUGGUCACGAGGGACGGAAGGACUUGUGUGGUGGAGGCAUGCUGGGGGUCUCCGUGGCCAACAAUGAACUCCUCAAACUGCCUGUGACACUAAGAGAGUCUCCUACUGGCCUAGAACUCUUCGAGCUGAGGCCAACUGACCAGCAAGACCCUGGGGUCUGCCUAUCUCCACCUCUCCAAUCUGGGGAUCCUUGAGCACUUCAGUGGGUGAGCAUCUCCCCAGCCUGUGGAUCCUGAGACCCUAACUUCUUCGGUGGAUUACCUCUUGGUGGACUUACGACUUGAUGCCAAACUUUGGUCACAACAGUGUGUGAGUAUGUGUGUGUGUGUGUGUGUGUGUGUGUGUGAGAGAGAGAGA